UAGGUUAACCAAGGAUCCUGGUUUGCCUGGGACUGAGGCAUUUCCCAGGAAGAGGAACUUGAGGUGCUAAAACUUGCAAAGUC
Molecule: microRNA precursor, 83 nt
Filed under: Otolemur garnettii (small-eared galago)
Lineage: Eukaryota; Metazoa; Chordata; Mammalia; Primates; Galagidae
Description: miRNA (ENSOGAG00000023342.1)
Source: RNAcentral